RNAcentral lists this non-coding RNA (148 nucleotides) under Homo sapiens (human). The record is from Rfam by way of RNAcentral. Lineage: Eukaryota; Metazoa; Chordata; Mammalia; Primates; Hominidae.
GCUGGGCGUGGUGGCGGGCGCCUGUAGUCCCAGCUACUUGGGAGGCGGAGGCAGGAGAAUCGCUAGAACCCGGGAGGCAGAGAUUGCAGUGAGCCAAGAACAUGCCACUGCACUCCUGCCUGGGCAACAGAGCGAGACUCCGUCUCAA